GAACAUGGUUUGAGCAAUUGAAUCCUCUGUUCAAGAGCGUACCUUGAGCAUACAUGCUGUGACCCGAAAGAUGGUGAACUAUACCUGAUCAGAUCGAAGCCAGGAGAAAUUCUGGUGGAGGAUCGAAACAGUUCUGACGUGCAAAUCGAUUGUCAGAAUUGGGUAUAGGGGCGAAAGACCAAUCGAACCAUCUAGUAGCUGGUUCCCUCCGAAG
Molecule: ribosomal RNA, 214 nt
Filed under: Chloropicon mariensis
Lineage: Eukaryota; Viridiplantae; Chlorophyta; Chloropicophyceae; Chloropicales; Chloropicaceae
Description: partial Eukaryotic large subunit ribosomal RNA
Rfam family: Eukaryotic large subunit ribosomal RNA
Source: RNAcentral